RNAcentral lists this ribosomal RNA (465 nucleotides) under uncultured bacterium. Its description in RNAcentral is "partial 16S ribosomal RNA". It matches the Rfam family "Bacterial small subunit ribosomal RNA", at positions 28 to 507 of the family's 1533-position model. The record is from RNAcentral.
GACGAACGCUGGCGGCGUGCUUAACACAUGCAAGUCGAACGGAAAGGCCCUGCUUGCAGGGUACUCGAGUGGCGAACGGGUCAGUAACACGUGGGUGAUCUGCCCUGCACUUCGGGAUAAGCCUGGGAAACUGGGUCUAAUACCGGAUAGGAGCCAUUUUUAGUGUGAUGGUUGGAAAGUUUUUUCGGUGUAGGAUGAGCUCGCGGCCUAUCAGCUUGUUGGUGGGGUAAUGGCCUACCAAGGCGGCGACGGGUAGCCGGCCUGAGAGGGUGGACGGCCACAUUGGGACUGAGAUACGGCCCAGACUCCUACGGGAGGCAGCAGUGGGGAAUAUUGCACAAUGGGCGCAAGCCUGAUGCAGCGACGCCGCGUGGGGGAUGACGGCCUUCGGGUUGUAAACUCCUUUCGCUAGGGACGAAGCUUUUUGUGACGGUACCUAGAGAAGAAGCACCGGCUAACUACGUG